AUUGUUUUGGCAGAUUAGUGCGUUAAAUUUAGAAUUUAGAUAUGUAUGGGUAAUACAAGCAAUA
This 64-nucleotide transfer RNA is filed under the name Dorcus parallelipipedus (lesser stag beetle). RNAcentral's name for it is "tRNA-Leu". The record is from RNAcentral. Lineage: Eukaryota; Metazoa; Arthropoda; Insecta; Coleoptera; Lucanidae. RNAcentral also lists the same sequence under 1 other name.